This 347-nucleotide long non-coding RNA is filed under the name Vigna radiata. RNAcentral's name for it is "long non-coding RNA (VRAD_LNC011526)". Lineage: Eukaryota; Viridiplantae; Streptophyta; Magnoliopsida; Fabales; Fabaceae. The record is from RNAcentral.
GGGAGGCUAGAGAUAGCAAGUCGGUAAUUAGUAAUAGGAUCUUUUCGCCAAGGAAUUGGGUUAAGGGUAGACCAAGAAAGUUUGCAUGACAAUAUGAUAAAUAAGCGAAUUAGAUAAGAAAAGUAGAUAUAAGAGGGUGGAUAAGAUGAAAUUGUAAACCCCAACAACUCCAUUAAUCCAUAUUUUUUUCUAGCCAAUUGAUUCACUGUAUUUGCAUGUUUACUUUUGUUUUUGCAUUCAAAACCUAAAUUUAAUUCUUUUCUCAAGUCUUAUGCUAUUAGGUUACACGAAAGUUAAGGCCUAAGAGUCCUUUGGGAAAUGAUACUUGGACUUACCCAUUUUAUAUU